ACAUUCGAGCAUGACGCGGGAGCUAUGAGUUCCACAGCUGCGUCGACGUUAAAAUUUUCAAUCUAUGUGAACCAUUCAUUGAGCACAAGUGCGGGAUAUCACGCGUUCAACGUCUAAUCAAGCAUGAGCUCUGCGAUGAGAGAGCCGGUGAAUAUUGAAUUCUCGGAGUCUACAGAGUUUGAACGGUGGCAACCUCGUCAAAAGGAAAUCAACCAGGCGGACCUACCGGCAUCUUUAGUGAUUGAAGAUGACCUUCACUCUCACUGAUACCCCAGCUUCCAAUCGACACUGUGAUAAUUUAAGUAGUACUGUUCAAGAGUCAGUGAAGGGCAGCAGUAGGAAAUGAAGAUAGUACAAUGCCCAGUACAGUUUCCUUCACCUACACCAGCACAGAGCCAAAGUCCAGUGAUGGCUUGGAACUUGAGAGCUUCUCUUUUGACGGAAGCAUAAGCAAUGACCCUAUGGCAAAUGACAUGGCUAAGUGCUCACGCCGAGCUCCACAAGCUGCUGAGCCAUCUUAUCCUUUUCCUGUAUUUCCCAAUGUUCCUGACUUGCAGACGGAAUAUCUCGAGCAAUAGUUGCUAGUCAGUCAAAUAGAUGCAGGUCAAGUACGAAUCCACAAAAUUUAAGUCUAGGUGUAUACCAGGAUGAUAGGAAGCACUGUGUUCGGCACUCUCAGCUUGCAUCUGACGAUUUUAAUGACUAUUACAUAAAAAUGCUGAGUGCUCAAAAGAAGCAGCCUCUGCAUUUGCGAGAGCCACCUCUCUGUAAUUCCUGCUCACAGUCAAUGAUUCAAUAUGUCUCUGCCAUCCAGACACUUAUCCAGCAACUCAGUGUAGACAUUAUUGUGAAGGGAAAAGACCCUCCAGACUGCAGCUGGUGUGCACGGGAGAAGCUUGCAUCCUUUCAAAAACACUUGGGCCCCAAAUUCAUUUGGAAGUGGCACUACAGGGGUGGCCGAUAGACUGGACCACAAGAAUGCUACGCAUCCUUCUUCGGGCUUGCAAAAUGAACAGGCACAUGUUGCUUCACCAGGAGCUCAAGCAUGGCAGGGGCCUGGAUCCUCUUGCCCAAUACCUGUACCAGAGCCCAAUUCAACUCCAGUAUCAAACAAGGGGCAUAUUGAAUUCUUGCAUUCCCAAGGUGUGCAGAACUUUCCAGACAGUGGAGUGUUCCCAAGUGAAGGCACUGUUCCAUUUCAUUACAUGGCUGCACCCAUUAGCAGUCUUGCUGUAAAGCCACCGAGUGAUGCCUUUCUUCCAACUGGUGUGAAGCAGCAGGACCUGCCUAAACAAGAUGAGUUGAGCCUUCGGCUCUGAACUCUCGGAAAUGCAACAAGUAAUUUCUCCAAAAAUGAGCUUGCUACCUGCAGCUUCGGAAUACAAUGGGGGUCGUUCGCCUUCUAAAAGUGAUGAGGUCAUAUUAAAUCCUCAUUACACUGAAAGUGGAGACCUCCAGAACUCAGUCAAGCAGCCAUCAGAGCUCCAGCUUCAUAACCUUGGGUCAAACUUCCAAGAAAAUCUGGCAAGCAAUGGGUUAUCUCUUGCAGAACACGGUGGGGCUAGACGAAAGCAGUCUCUCAGUUCAGAUUGGAUGACUGAUCUGAUUCAGCCACUUAUCCCAGAACCAGCAGUGCCAAGCGUACAAGAUCAA
Long non-coding RNA from Dermacentor silvarum, 1653 nucleotides. RefSeq lists it as uncharacterized. The transcript is spliced from 3 exons. Lineage: Eukaryota; Metazoa; Arthropoda; Arachnida; Ixodida; Ixodidae. The record is from RefSeq and is a predicted model, not a curated record.